GCACCCAUAGCACAACUGGAUAAUGCGUCUGGCUACGAACCAGGAGAUUAGGGGUUCGAAUCCUCUUGGGUGCGCCA
RNAcentral lists this transfer RNA (77 nucleotides) under Rickettsiales bacterium. Its description in RNAcentral is "tRNA-Arg". It matches the Rfam family "tRNA". Rfam says of the family: Transfer RNA (tRNA) molecules are approximately 80 nucleotides in length. Their secondary structure includes four short double-helical elements and three loops (D, anti-codon, and T loops). The record is from RNAcentral. Lineage: Bacteria; Pseudomonadati; Pseudomonadota; Alphaproteobacteria; Rickettsiales.